This 400-nucleotide ribosomal RNA is filed under the name uncultured bacterium. RNAcentral's name for it is "bacterial SSU rRNA". It matches the Rfam family "Bacterial small subunit ribosomal RNA", at positions 355 to 772 of the family's 1533-position model. The record is from RNAcentral.
UGGGGAAUAUUGCACAAUGGGCGAAAGCCUGAUGCAGCAACGCCGCGUGAGCGAUGAAGGCCUUCGGGUCGUAAAGCUCUGUCCUCAAGGAAGAAUAUUGACGGUACUUGAGGAGGAAGCCCCGGCUAACUACGUGCCAGCAGCCGCGGUAAUACGUAGGGGGCUAGCGUUAUCCGGAAUUACUGGGCGUAAAGGGUGCGUAGGUGGUUUUAUAAGUCAGAGGUGAAAGGCUACGGCUCAACCGUAGUAAGCCUUUGAAACUAUAAAACUUGAGUGCAGGAGAGGAAAGUAGAAUUCCCAGUGUAGCGGUGAAAUGCGUAGAUAUUGGGAGGAAUACCAGUUGCGAAGGCGGCUUUCUGGACUGUAACUGACACUGAGGCACGAAAGCGUGGGGAGCAAA